GAUGAACGCUGGCGGCGUGCCUAAUACAUGCAAGUCGAGCGAACGGACGGGAAGCUUGCUUCUCUGAUGUUAGCGGCGGACGGGUGAGUAACACGUGGAUAACCUACCUAUAAGACUGGGAUAACUUCGGGAAACCGGAGCUAAUACCGGAUAAUAUUUUGAACCGCAUGGUUCAAAAGUGAAAGACGGUCUUGCUGUCACUUAUAGAUGGAUCCGCGCUGCAUUAGCUAGUUGGUAAGGUAACGGCUUACCAAGGCAACGAUGCAUAGCCGACCUGAGAUGGUGAUCGGCCACACUGGAACUGAGACACGGUCCAGACUCCUACGGGAGGCAGCAGUAGGGAAUCUUCCGCAAUGGGCGAAAGCCUGACGGAGCAACGCCGCGUGAGUGAUGAAGGUCUUCGGAUCGUAAAACUCUGUUAUUAGGGAAGAACAUAUGUGUAAGUAACUGUGCACAUCUUGACGGUACCUAAUCAGAAAGCCACGGCUAACUACGUG
This 497-nucleotide ribosomal RNA is filed under the name uncultured bacterium. RNAcentral's name for it is "partial 16S ribosomal RNA". It matches the Rfam family "Bacterial small subunit ribosomal RNA", at positions 28 to 507 of the family's 1533-position model. The record is from RNAcentral.